CGCGGCAGGACAAGACCAUGCCUCAAGCUCCCCGCUAGGCGGAAGCAGAAGGGGGUAGCAGACCCCCUAAGUGUACCACUUCGGGGGGGGGGGGAGUCCCUGUAUCGACUCCGCUCAGAUGGGGGGGUUGUCUGCAAGAGAGGCAUCGUCUCUACGUUUGGAGCUUGCCUCACUGGCGAGUCGACCUUCCCCCAAGCUACGAGCUGCAAGCUCGCCUCCUCCAUAGCUCUACCGCCUGGUUACCUCUUUGCUUCUUCGUCCUCCAGCAGUUCAGGUUCGGUCGCCGCCAUUACCACAUCGCACUCCGCGGUAGCCGCCAUCUUACCGCCGGGACCAAAGAGCCGGGUGGGAGGCCGGCGGUGAAGAGCACUUCCGGUUGGAGCAUCGAGCCUCUCGGCGGCACCGCGCCCAGAGGGACUCCCUCGAGCCCGUCUACCAACGAGAGGCUCCGCUUGGGGCCAGAGCGGCCG
This 470-nucleotide long non-coding RNA is filed under the name Rattus norvegicus (Norway rat). RNAcentral's name for it is "long non-coding RNA NONRATT004880". Lineage: Eukaryota; Metazoa; Chordata; Mammalia; Rodentia; Muridae. The record is from RNAcentral.